GACGAACGCUGGCGGCGUGCCUAAUACAUGCAAGUAGAACGCUGAAACUUGGUGCUUGCACCGAGCGGAUGAGUUGCGAACGGGUGAGUAACGCGUAGGUAACCUGCCUGGUAGCGGGGGAUAACUAUUGGAAACGAUAGCUAAUACCGCAUAAGAGUAGAUGUUGCAUGACAUUUGCUUAAAAGGUGCAAUUGCACCACUACCAGAUGGACCUGCGUUGUAUUAGCUAGUUGGUGGGGUAACGGCGCACCAAGGCGACGAUACAUAGCCGACCUGAGAGGGGGAUCGGCCACACUGAGACGGAGCCACGGCCCAGACUCCUACGGGAGGCAGCAGUAGGGAAUCUUCGGCAAUGGACGGAAGUCUGACCGAGCAACGCCGCGUGAGUGAAGAAGGUUUUCGGAUCGUAAAGCUCUGUUGUAAGAGAAGAACGAGUGUGAGAGUGGAAAGUUCACACUGUGACGGUAGCUUACCAGAAAGGGACGGCUAACUACGUG
This 497-nucleotide ribosomal RNA is filed under the name uncultured bacterium. Its description in RNAcentral is "partial 16S ribosomal RNA". It matches the Rfam family "Bacterial small subunit ribosomal RNA", at positions 28 to 507 of the family's 1533-position model. The record is from RNAcentral.